CGGGGCGUAGCGCAGCCCGGUAGCGCACUUGCAUGGGGUGCAAGGGGUCGGCGGUUCGAAUCCGCCCGCCCCGA
Molecule: transfer RNA, 74 nt
Filed under: Anaerolineales bacterium
Lineage: Bacteria; Bacillati; Chloroflexota; Anaerolineae; Anaerolineales
Also listed under: 1 other name
Description: tRNA-Pro
Rfam family: tRNA
About the family: Transfer RNA (tRNA) molecules are approximately 80 nucleotides in length. Their secondary structure includes four short double-helical elements and three loops (D, anti-codon, and T loops).
Source: RNAcentral